AUAAAAGGAGGAGGUUGUGCACAGGGAGCUGAAAAGCAGAGGCCACCCCACCGUGGGCUCCCUAAUGCUGCAGAUUUACCGAGGUAAUGACCAGGCAUAAACUGAUAAACUUGUAUUUUUUCUCCCAACAGGCACUGGGUAACCUCUGGGGAAUUCGAUAGGCCUGUUGCGGCAAUGCCAGGAGGAGUUAAUGACACAGGUGACCCACGCCUGUGUCCUGACCAGGGGAGGAACUGAGCAGCUGACCCGGGAAGGAGCAGGAGAGGAUGCACAGGAGCUGCUGCUCCUGGAGCUACUGCUGAAACCCCCCGGAGGGGACAACCUGGAAGAGGAAAGACCUUUGCUGUCACCAUGCUCAGCUGCUCUUGAUGGGCAAGAAGAGGUUUCUGGAGGGCAGAUCGGGCAGCGUGGGACAGCAGAAAGCUGGGAGCCAGCAGCUGCAUCGCUGAGUCUCCACUAUGAGCAGCAGCCGCCGCUUCCCACUGCCUGCCCUGCACACCUCUACGACAGCUGGGAGAGACAAGGCUAAAGGACUGCCAGCAGCGCAGCCUUUGUCGCCCACCCCUGUCAUGGGGCACCAAGGGGAGGCGGCACCGAGGGGACCAGGAUGAAGAUGCUCCUGGAAGGGGCAGCAGAUGGGACACAGCACAUCCCAGACAGGCACAACAUCAUGGUGGCUGUAAAUCACAUCUUGGAGUGGGAGAAGGAAGGGAGAUUGAGAUGGGAAAAGACUGCGGGGAGGCCUGCCUCACCUGGGAAGGAAGCAGAGGCAAUGAAGCCCCCGUUCUCCAGGGAUUUUUGUUCUAACAGUAAAGAAGAACUGUGACAAUUGCUCUGGAAGAAGCUUCACACGGACAUCCCAUGUCCUGGGGAAACAUGGCCAGUAAUUCAGGUUGCAGACAAGGCCCCAUUGACUCUGACGAAGACGAAGAGGUUCAGUUAACCCUGCGUGCUGUGGGGCUGCAAGAGCUGGACUGGCCAGGGCAGCACGGCCACAACCUCACCUCGAGCUGCCCGAGGGGCUGGGGGGGUUUUGGGGAGUGUCAAGACUGCAGGGGUGCGCCCCAGAUGUCAGUCAGGGAGGCUGGGAGCUCUGCACCCUCGCCGUCCCUUGAUCUUAGCAACAGCACUCAUGAGAUAUGCAAGCUGGCAAGCACGCAGGGGCAGAAAUCCAGCCCUGCCAGGUCCACAGCAGCAGCUGGUGAGGAUGAGGAGCUCCCUGUGAGGAGGAGGAGCACCCUGUGUGCCCUGACCUGAGCAGCCCGCACACCCGCCCAUGCACGCUCUGCUGCAGACAAGGGGAUUGCAAUGGCCAAAAUCCCAAAUGGGUCUCGGCACGACCCCGUGGGGCACGUUCCUCUCGUGUUGCCCUUGACCUUUUUUCUCUGGAGGCUCCAAGAAGGAGGAAAUGUUUGUCUGCAAGAAGCAGGUCUCUGGCUGAAUUCCCCUCCUGCGGGGAAACCUCUGUCAGUCAGCGGUUUCAUUUUACGUGGCUGUGCUUUGCCCAAAAAAAAAUUAGCUUAACAUUAUCACAGUGUAAGUCAACAAAUAUGGAAAAAUCCACCAAGGUUACGUUUUAUCCACUUUUCUUGCACCUUUGGAGAUGAAACUCAAGCUACUCUGCUAAGUCACAGUGAUUUAUUGGUGGGCUGAGAAGCUGGGUUUACAUACUGCAUCUUUGGGAUGCUGGCAACCUCGCUUCUUAUAAAUCUGAACUAGUAUUUCUAAGCCCUUUUAUGCCAGCUGCUUUCAUGUAUUCAGAACCUUUUCCGUGCAGUAGCCUAUGAAAAUAUUGAAACGAUGCCCAGAGCAACACCAGGAUAUGAAGGGGAAAACUUUAAGAUGUUUUGUAACUAUUUUUUAACAGAACCUGCCAAAUCUUAAUUUUUCCAGUUUACAAGUAAGAGCCUCUAACCAUCUGUUUGCUGUCAACUGAUGUUUGUUUGGAAAGGAAUUUUAUUAUUUUUUUCCAUCUUGCACUCCUGUUCUUACAACUAGUUUACUGAACUUCAUAAAUGUCAGCUUUCACAGUUGUUUUGUAAGCCAGUUAUGAUUUAGGAUUUAAUCAAAAUUGAGCAGUCAGUGUCUUUAAUCAAUCUGAAUGGAGAUCAAAACCAAAGAAACAGAGACUGAAAAAUGAAACAUUUAAUGUACCCCAACAGUCUUUGAAAGAGCCUUAUUUCCAACAUAAUAGCUACCAGGAAUCAUUAUAACAAACUUUAAAAAAAAGAAAUACCUUCCAAAA
This is a long non-coding RNA of Columba livia (rock pigeon), 2245 nucleotides long. RefSeq lists it as uncharacterized. Lineage: Eukaryota; Metazoa; Chordata; Aves; Columbiformes; Columbidae. The record is from RefSeq and is a predicted model, not a curated record. The transcript is spliced from 4 exons.